Molecule: long non-coding RNA, 1213 nt
Organism: Salvelinus sp. IW2-2015
Lineage: Eukaryota; Metazoa; Chordata; Actinopteri; Salmoniformes; Salmonidae
Source: RefSeq, a predicted model, not a curated record
UAAUUUUAUAAUAAGGCAGGUUUAUUCAAGUGUAAAAAUAUUAGGCAAAGCGUGCAGCACGGCUCCCUCUGUCUGAUCCGUAAGGGAUCGUCAGGAAGAGAGAGCGUUUACACAGUUGUACAGUUAUAUAUGGGCAACAAGCAAAGUAGGUUGAUCUGGUAGUCUGGCCUUCCGAUUGGUCUAUCUGGGUCUUGGGUAGUCCUGAACAGGCCUGGUGUCCACGUUCCAUUGGUUCCUGACAUAGUUCUUUGUCUGGAGCUCCAACCCUGAGUUGUGAGUGUCUGAGUGAUUGUCAUGGGGGAGGGAAGUUGUGGGUGUCGUGCAUGUGUCCAAUGAGUCCAGCAUAUGUCCAAUAGAAAGAGGGAGUGUGUAUAUUGUGUCAACCAUAGCUAAUGUUUGAGAAGUUGUUAAAACAAGUUACCAAUAUCUAAUACAAUUCCUUACAGUCUUUCCGAUAAUGAAUAUUUCGCUCCAGGCAAGUGGCAGUGCUGGCACCGGCAAAGAGACUGCUGUUGCCUUGGCGAUGCGAGGUGCCCAACAUAGCGUGCCAUGACGUGGACAAGGCUGAGAAGGCAGUGAGUGAGAUCAAGAUGAGGGGUCACAACAUUAAUGUCCUUCACGUGGAGCUGGACCUGGACAACAUGCGCUCCAUGAGGGAGUUCUGUUAGACCUUCCUACAGACGGAGAAGAGACUGGGCAUACUCAUCAAUAACGCAGACGGGCGUCUCAGACCAUGGUUUACUGCGCCGUGUCGGACGAGGCCGCCAAGCACAGCAGGGGAUACUUCACUGACUGCCGGCCCGCCACGCUGAGGCCGUUCGCCAGGGACGCCGCUGUGGCCAAGAAACUGCAGGAGGCCAGCAAGAGGCUGGUCAAACUGGCCGGAGAAACUGGAAUGAUUAAAUUAAACUGAAGCUUUGCGAGCAAACAAUGUGUGGGAAUCUCAUAUUUUGGUCAAACAAGCCCCCCCAAAAAAUUGUUUUUGUUUUGUUCUUAAUAAUUCAUCGUUUUUUAAUAACUAUUUGUCUGUGGGGGACUUUAUAGUGAAUGAUGUCAGGGUUUUUUUUAUGGAUGGAGAAUGGAUUGUUGAACAUUUUAUGAUUUGCCCUUGGAUUGCUGACCUCAAACACUUGAAUGAAUGAUGACAUGUAAAACAUGGCUGCUUUUUCUUCUGUUGUAAAUAUCCUCUGAAAAUAAAAUCUGCUUCAAUACA